CCUACGGGUGGCUGCAGUGGGGAAUUUUGGACAAUGGGGGAAACCCUGAUCCAGCAAUGCCGCGUGCAGGAUGAAGGCCUUCGGGUUGUAAACUGCUUUUGUACGGAACGAAAAGGCUCUGGUUAAUACCUGGGGCUCAUGACGGUACCGUAAGAAUAAGCACCGGCUAACUACGUGCCAGCAGCCGCGGUAAUACGUAGGGUACUAGUGUUAAUCGGAAUUACUGGGCGUAAAGCGUGAGCCAGAGGUGAAAUCCCCGGGCUCAACCUGGGAACUGCCUUUGUGACUGCAUAGCUAGAGUACGGCAGAGGGGGAUGGAAUUCCGCGUGUAGCAGUGAAAUGCGUAGAUAUGCGGAGGAACACCGAUGGCGAAGGCAAUCCCCUGGGCCUGUACUGACGCUCAUGCACGAAAGCGUGGGGAGCAAACAGGAUUAGAUACCCGGGUAGUC
Molecule: ribosomal RNA, 449 nt
Filed under: uncultured bacterium
Lineage: Bacteria
Description: partial 16S ribosomal RNA
Rfam family: Bacterial small subunit ribosomal RNA
Source: RNAcentral